UGCUUCAGUAUUCACUGGGAGUGAGGGGGU
RNAcentral lists this non-coding RNA (30 nucleotides) under Mus musculus (house mouse). Lineage: Eukaryota; Metazoa; Chordata; Mammalia; Rodentia; Muridae. The record is from RNAcentral.